AGCAGAAGCCUUAGAGCGUCUAAAAGCCCUACGCCGAGGUGGUCGUAGAUCUGAGAAUGGCGGCGGAUACGACGUCAAGGUGGAGACUCCGAUAUAUGACACAGUAUCUGAGGAUGAUUAUGACAAGCUCGUGGCACGCCGUCGGGAGGAGGCCCAAGGCUUCAUUGUCGAUGACGAUGGCCUCGGGUAUGGCGACGAGGGCCAAGAGGAGGACUGGUCCCUGGCUGGCCUCCCUCCAUCAUCUGAUGAAUCGGAUGGCGGCGAGCCAAAUACGAGACCAAAAAGGAAAAAGACAGAAAAGAAAGAGAAAGAGACGCAACAAAAGAAGGUUAAUUCUUCAUUAUCAGCGGCGGCGGCAAUGAUGGGGAAACAAAGAAUAUCGGCGAUGUUCACCUCGACGGUGUUUAAAAAUAAGGAUUCUGGUAAGGUUAAGAGUUUGGAUUGUGAAAAUAUCGUUGAUGAUGUUAUAGCGGAGUUUGCACCUGACGAGGCUGAUAGAGAGAGACGCAGAAGGGGCCAAUUGACUCUGAAGAAUUUCGCGCCAAUUAAGACCGAGGAUCAGGUUCUUAGC
RNAcentral lists this unclassified non-coding RNA (571 nucleotides) under Hevea brasiliensis (rubber tree). Lineage: Eukaryota; Viridiplantae; Streptophyta; Magnoliopsida; Malpighiales; Euphorbiaceae. The record is from RNAcentral.